CCGCAGAUCACUGAACUACAACUCCCAGCGACGCCGAAGCCCAGGAGAGAGUCUGCUUCUCUGCACCUUGCUACUUAGUGGCUCUGCCUCCUAAGUUCUGUGCUCUCAGCCAUGUGGGGCUGCCUCACCUGCACUGGACGGUUCACCAGCAAAGGGCCAUUCCUGAAGGACAAUGACAGAACUGCAGCUAAGGAGCAUCAAGGGCAGUGGUGCUCAAAGCGGUUUGCCUGGCCAGGAAGAUCAGCAUCUCCGGGGAACUUGUUAGAAACGCACGUGCUAAGGCCCACCUCGGACCUAAUGAAGCAGAAACUGCGGGUAGGGAUCAGCAAUCCGUUUCAGAGGCUCUCCAGGGGGAGCCACUACACAGCAAGGUUUGAGAAGCACUGACCUACAGACUUCCCCUUCGCCAGUGGGGAAAAAACCUGGAGGGCG
RNAcentral lists this long non-coding RNA (432 nucleotides) under Heterocephalus glaber (naked mole-rat). RNAcentral's name for it is "lncRNA (ENSHGLG00000050474.1)". Lineage: Eukaryota; Metazoa; Chordata; Mammalia; Rodentia; Bathyergidae. The record is from RNAcentral.